Long non-coding RNA from Arvicanthis niloticus (Nile rat), 373 nucleotides. RefSeq lists it as uncharacterized. Lineage: Eukaryota; Metazoa; Chordata; Mammalia; Rodentia; Muridae. The record is from RefSeq and is a predicted model, not a curated record.
CACCAUGACUGGGAACAGAAAGGAAAGUCACAGUAGACUGCCAGCUCCCAUGUGUAAUCACAAUGGCAAGACCAGCUACCACUUCUCUGCCAUCCAGGACAACAAUACCUUCUAGUGGGAUCCCUGGAAUGAACCAGGGUUCUGCCCCAGAUAGUCACAGAAGCGCUAACUUAGAAGCAUUCUUGGAUGCCUGGCUCAGAAAGUGCCUUGAAACCCAGCUCCAUAUGAACAGAAAUCCUACAGGAUGCAUCUCCAGGAUUAGAAUUACUGACGUCUCAAACACUGAAGACAAACAUUUGGCUUUAUUUUUUAGCUAAAACUUGUUUAUUGGCCUACAAACAGUUAAGUUUCAUUACUGCAUUUUCAAAGACAA